Molecule: long non-coding RNA, 1996 nt
Filed under: Homo sapiens (human)
Lineage: Eukaryota; Metazoa; Chordata; Mammalia; Primates; Hominidae
Description: long non-coding RNA NONHSAT192268.1
Source: RNAcentral
GGCAGGGCGGCCACUGUGGCGGGGCUCUUUCCCCGUUUCGCCUCAGCUACCCCUCAGCUCCGGUAGUCGCCAGUCCGGGGUCGUCGCCGUUUGGGGCGGGAGCUGCUCGGCCCCGCCGCCGUCCCCGUCGCCGCUUCCGGGUCCAGGCCCCUCGGGCCGCCUGCCGCCGUCAUGAGGCUGCGGGUGCGGCUUCUGAAGCGGACCUGGCCGCUGGAGGUGCCCGAGACGGAGCCGACGCUGGGGCAUUUGCGCUCGCACCUGAGGCAGUCCCUGCUGUGCACCUGGGGGUACAGUUCUAAUACCCGAUUUACAAUUACAUUGAACUACAAGGAUCCCCUCACUGGAGAUGAAGAGACCUUGGCUUCAUAUGGGAUUGUUUCUGGGGACUUGAUAUGUUUGAUUCUUCAAGAUGACAUUCCAGCGCCUAAUAUACCUUCAUCCACAGAUUCAGAGCAUUCUUCACUCCAGAAUAAUGAGCAACCCUCUUUGGCCACCAGCUCCAAUCAGACUAGCAUGCAGGAUGAACAACCAAGUGAUUCAUUCCAAGGACAGGCAGCCCAGUCUGGUGUUUGGAAUGACGACAGUAUGGGCCUAGUCAAAAUUUUGAAGCUGAGUCAAUUCAAGAUAAUGCGCAUAUGGCAGAGGGCACAGGUUUCUAUCCCUCAGAACCCAUGCUCUGUAGUGAAUCGGUGGAAGGGCAAGUGCCACAUUCAUUAGAGACCUUGUAUCAAUCAGCUGACUGUUCUGAUGCCAAUGAUGCCUUGAUAGUGUUGAUACAUCUUCUCAUGUUGGAGUCAGGUUACAUACCUCAGGGCACCGAAGCCAAAGCACUGUCCAUGCCGGAGAAGUGGAAGUUGAGCGGGGUGUAUAAGCUGCAGUACAUGCAUCCUCUCUGCGAGGGCAGCUCCGCUACUCUCACCUGUGUGCCUUUGGGAAACCUGAUUGUUGUAAAUGCUACACUAAAAAUCAACAAUGAGAUUAGAAGUGUGAAAAGAUUGCAGCUGCUACCAGAAUCUUUUAUUUGCAAAGAGAAACUAGGGGAAAAUGUAGCCAACAUAUACAAAGAUCUUCAGAAACUCUCUCGCCUCUUUAAAGACCAGCUGGUGUAUCCUCUUCUGGCUUUUACCCGACAAGCACUGAACCUACCAGAUGUAUUUGGGUUGGUCGUCCUCCCAUUGGAACUGAAACUACGGAUCUUCCGACUUCUGGAUGUUCGUUCCGUCUUGUCUUUGUCUGCGGUUUGUCGUGACCUCUUUACUGCUUCAAAUGACCCACUCCUGUGGAGGUUUUUAUAUCUGCGUGAUUUUCGAGCUGUACAGGAAGAGGCACAUACAAAGAAAAGAAUCCCCGAAAGGGCGGUUUGUGAUGCUCCUGCCAUCGUCAACUCACACCAUUCCAUUCUAUCCCAACCCCUUGCACCCUAGGCCAUUUCCUAGCUCCCGCCUUCCUCCAGGAAUUAUCGGGGGUGAAUAUGACCAAAGACCAACACUUCCCUAUGUUGGAGACCCAAUCAGUUCACUCAUUCCUGGUCCUGGGGAGACGCCCAGCCAGUUUCCUCCACUGAGACCACGCUUUGAUCCAGUUGGCCCACUUCCAGGACCUAACCCCAUCUUGCCAGGGCGAGGCGGCCCCAAUGACAGAUUUCCCUUUAGACCCAGCAGGGGUCGGCCAACUGAUGGCCGGCUGUCAUUCAUGUGAUUGAUUUGUAAUUUCAUUUCUGGAGCUCCAUUUGUUUUUGUUUCUAAACUACAGAUGUCAACUCCUUGGGGUGCUGAUCUCGAGUGUUAUUUUCUGAUUGUGGUGUUGAGAGUUGCACUCCCAGAAACCUUUUAAGAGAUACAUUUAUAGCCCUAGGGGUGGUAUGACCCAAAGGUUCCUCUGUGACAAGGUUGGCCUUGGGAAUAGUUGGCUGCCAAUCUCCCUGCUCUUGGUUCUCCUCUAGAUUGAAGUUUGUUUUCUGAUGCUGUUCUUACCAGAUUAAAAAAAAGUGUAAAUU